GCUAGCGUACAGAAAUUGGUUAUAACUGCCUAGACUUGAAAUCUUGUGUGUUGACGUUGAAUCAGCCUGUGGGUUCGAAUCCUACCGCUAGCG
Molecule: transfer RNA, 93 nt
Filed under: Bacteriophage sp.
Description: tRNA-Ser
Rfam family: tRNA
About the family: Transfer RNA (tRNA) molecules are approximately 80 nucleotides in length. Their secondary structure includes four short double-helical elements and three loops (D, anti-codon, and T loops).
Source: RNAcentral